ACCCCUCAAUUUAUCUCACACACACGCAGUCUCUUUCACGUGUCUCUCUGAUGGCGUUGGCGUUUCUCCGGUGGACUUUUAGGCUGCUGAUGGUCCUGAUCGUCUUUCAGGGUGUGUGUGUGAUGUUUUAUUACACACCCAACACACACUCGUCCAGAGACGGGAUGACGAACGCUCUUCGGCAGAUGCACUGCGCUAAACUCAGACGCAGGUUUUCCAUUAUCAAACCGGCCAAAAGUGUAAAUCUGCAGAGCUUCACGCGGGGGCUAUCAGAUUUCAUGAGCUGCCCGUACAGAUCAAACACAACCGAGCGAGAGGUGAACAGUUUUUCUGUAACGCCACAG
This 344-nucleotide long non-coding RNA is filed under the name Sinocyclocheilus grahami. Its description in RNAcentral is "lncRNA (ENSSGRG00000016346.1)". Lineage: Eukaryota; Metazoa; Chordata; Actinopteri; Cypriniformes; Cyprinidae. The record is from RNAcentral.